CAGCGGCCCUAGUGGUGAUCGUUAUUAUUGGGCCUAAAGCGUCCGUAGCCGGUUCGGUAAAUCUCUGGGUAAAUCGUUGGGCUUAACUCAACGAAUUCUGGGGAGACUGCCGAACUUGGGACCGGGAGAGGUCGGAGGUACUCCAGGGGUAGGGGUGAAAUCCUGUAAUCCUUGGGGGACCACCGGUGGCGAAAGCGUCCGACCAGAACGGGUCCGACGGUAAGGGACGAAGCCCUGGGUCGCGAACCGGAUUAGAUACCCGAGUAGUCC
This 270-nucleotide ribosomal RNA is filed under the name uncultured archaeon. RNAcentral describes it as "partial 16S ribosomal RNA". It matches the Rfam family "Archaeal small subunit ribosomal RNA", at positions 477 to 747 of the family's 1478-position model. The record is from RNAcentral.